RNAcentral lists this ribosomal RNA (497 nucleotides) under uncultured bacterium. Its description in RNAcentral is "partial 16S ribosomal RNA". It matches the Rfam family "Bacterial small subunit ribosomal RNA", at positions 28 to 507 of the family's 1533-position model. The record is from RNAcentral.
GAUGAACGCUGGCGGCGUGCCUAAUACAUGCAAGUCGGGCGAACGGACGAGAAGCUUGCUUCUCUGAUGUUAGCGGCGGACGGGUGAGUAACACGUGGAUAACCUACCUAUAAGACUGGGAUAACUUCGGGAAACCGGAGCUAAUACCGGAUAAUAUUUUGAACCGCAUGGUUCAAAAGUGAAAGACGGUCUUGCUGUCACUUAUAGAUGGAUCCGCGCUGCAUUAGCUAGUUGGUAAGGUAACGGCUUACCAAGGCAACGAUGCAUAGCCGACCUGAGAGGGUGAUCGGCCACACUGGAACUGAGACACGGUCCAGACUCCUACGGGAGGCAGCAGUAGGGAAUCUUCCGCAACGGGCGAAAGCCUGACGGAGCAACGCCGCGUGAGUGAUGAAGGUCUUCGGAUCGUAAAACUCUGUUAUUAGGGAAGAACAUAUGUGUAAGUAACUGUGCACAUCUUGACGGUACCUAAUCAGAAAGCCACGGCUAACUACGUG